This 253-nucleotide ribosomal RNA is filed under the name uncultured bacterium. RNAcentral describes it as "partial 16S ribosomal RNA". It matches the Rfam family "Bacterial small subunit ribosomal RNA", at positions 524 to 776 of the family's 1533-position model. The record is from RNAcentral.
UACGGAGGGUGCGAGCGUUAUCCGGAAUUACUGGGUUUAAAGGGUGCGUAGGCGGCGCAGUAAGUCAGGAGUGAAAGUUUGCGGCUCAACCGUAAAAUUGCUUUUAAUACUGCUGUGCUGGAAUUAGGAUGAGGUCAGCGGAAUGUGGCAUGUAGCGGUGAAAUGCAUAGAUAUGCCAUAGAACACCAAUUGCGAAGGCAGCUGGCUAGACCUGGAUUGACGCUGAGGCACGAAAGCGUGGGGAGCGAACAGG